CACAUGCAUCCGGUCUCUAGGAGUCGUCCACAUGAGCCCAUGAAUCACGAUUAGAAGUUCUGAUCCAGGAAAUCUGCACAGUAUGCUAGUACUGUGCUGAUCCUUCUUUGAUGGUCGAUCAGAUGCCUCCUUCUUCUUGAUUUGAACUCUUUCAAAGAUGAGAAGUAGGAGAAGGAGUUUUAGAUGUAAGACACUUUCAAAAAACUUACAGAUGG
RNAcentral lists this long non-coding RNA (215 nucleotides) under Elaeis guineensis (African oil palm). RNAcentral's name for it is "long non-coding RNA (EGUI_LNC076079)". The record is from RNAcentral. Lineage: Eukaryota; Viridiplantae; Streptophyta; Magnoliopsida; Arecales; Arecaceae.